Molecule: ribosomal RNA, 181 nt
Filed under: uncultured rumen bacterium
Lineage: Bacteria
Description: partial 16S ribosomal RNA
Rfam family: Bacterial small subunit ribosomal RNA
Source: RNAcentral
UACGGGAGGCAGCAGUGGGGAAUAUUCCACAAUGGGGGAAACCCUGAUGCAGCGACGCCGCGUGAGUGAAGAAGUAUUUCGGUAUGUAAAGCUCUAUCAGCAGGGAAGAAAGACUCGCAAGAGAGAUGACGGUACCUGACUAAGAAGCCCCGGCUAACUACGUGCCAGCAGCCGCGGUAAU